This is a long non-coding RNA of Armigeres subalbatus, 1647 nucleotides long. RefSeq lists it as uncharacterized. The transcript is spliced from 4 exons. Lineage: Eukaryota; Metazoa; Arthropoda; Insecta; Diptera; Culicidae. The record is from RefSeq and is a predicted model, not a curated record.
AUAUAAUUUUCUCGCAGCACUGCGGAGUUGAUGUCAGCAACGUCGACGCGGUCGACGCUGUUUCGUCGCCAUGUUGUGGAAGCUGAUUUUUACUCGGUAAUUUGCACGGUUUGUUUCUCGCGGCUCGCUACAAGUUUUUCUUUGUUAAUAUUUUAUUCGUGAGUGUCGUGGAACAGUUGGCAAAUAAACGUAUUUUAUUAAGUGCAAUUUACCAUCAAAACGCGAUUGGUGUUGGCCGUAAACAUCGGCUAGGAUUUUGCGUAUUUCGACGACGACGGGUAGGAAGAAAAAAGUCGGAUUUCAGGUCACGGGACUGUGCAAGCCGAUCCUGAAGGCAAUCCUUCAAAUGGGAUACAAACUGCCAACUAACAUCCAACACAAAACUAUCUAUCACUGCAGUGGGAUCAGAGCACUGAUUUAAUGAACCGUGAUGUGGUUGCAAUGGUCAUUACUGGCUUGGUGAAUCCGGAUUCCGACGAGUCUAUAAGUUCGGUCCUAGAGCGUUACUUAUGUUGUUAUUUGGAAGUACAAAAUCUUAAACAGCUGGUAAUGUUUACGGAUUUUAAAACUAGCUAGCACUUCGAGACGAUGCGAUGAAUGCGCAGUUUACGGCCAUUCAAAUGCUGCCGGAUCUGAUCGUUUCAACGCCAGUACGAAACUGUCAGCGGUAGUGCACCAGGACAUCGUCUUUUUGAUUGGUUUCGGCGAGAAGUUACGGAGACUAUGCGGUAGUUGUACGAUUAAAAUAGAUGCUCCUGUUCUGCGCAAGCUGGUGGUCGAUGAGGGCUGACUUAAGCGAUCCAACGCUGAUCCGAUUAGACGUAGAGUCGUAAAUUCCGACAGCACUGCAUUUGAAAUUCUUUUAAAGGCCGGAAGGACUCGCCUCAUUUCUUUUGGUCCGUGAGGGGAUUCAAAAACACGCCCAAACUGUGUUUAACGGGACGCAGCAUCACGUUCAAUUGAUUUCUCUGCUUAAGAACAAAGUGGCAUCUGCGUUGUCUUCUUUUCGCUCGGUCCAUAACUGUAUGUCGCCAACCAGACAGUCUACCAAGGGUCCGUAAAUCAUCGUAUUGAUGGCUCUUCUAUGUUCGAAGCGGAUCUCCCUUUAGAUCACAAUCAAUGCCAAUUUUUGCAUGAAUACAACUUUUAAUGUGGAAGGAAAAGUCUAUUAUCUAUUAUGAUUUGGUCAACACCUACGCUCACGGCAACUUUGAAACGCCUAUUGAGAACUUCUCAUCCAGACUGAUUUUGCAACCACUUGAAAAGGAUUGGAUUGCCGUUGCAUUGAUGUCUUGGAACUCCAAGAACAUUUGAAAAAGACUUGACGUAUCGUCGAUGUAUCGCCUUCCUGUAAGCCCUCUACGGUAAUUUCUCCGCGCCGCAGUCUGAGAAAACAAUUGUCACGUGUUGGUAAGCAGAAACCGUACAAUUUUGUUUCGGUGUGAUGAUCUGGAUCUAUAUACUAUGAUUUCUUGGCGGCGGCGAUAUCUUCUCGGUCCCGCGGUCGUACUAUUGAAGGACAGUGAAGUAACAACGAAGGAGACCAUCGCAUUCCGGCACAACCAGGGAACGCCGAUGAGGAUGGUUACCACAAGCAACCACUUUCGAUAAAGACCCUUAAAGAAUAAAUUUUAAAUGCUUAUAAAA